AAUGGGGGCAACCCUGAUCCAGCAAUGCCGCGUGAGUGAAGAAGGCCCUCGGGUUGUAAAGCUCUUUUGUCAGGGAAGAAACGGAGUUCUCUAAUAUAGGAUUCUAAUGACGGUACCUGAAGAAUAAGCACCGGCUAACUACGUGCCAGCAGCCGCGGUAAUACGUAGGGUGCAAGCGUUAAUCGGAAUUACUGGGCGUAAAGCGUGCGCAGGCGGUUUUGUAAGUCUGAUGUGAAAUCCCCGGGCUCAACCUGGGAACUGCAUUGGAGACUGCAAGGCUAGAGUGUGUCAGAGGGGGGUAGAAUUCCACGUGUAGCAGUGAAAUGCGUAGAGAUGUGGAGGAAUACCGAUGGCGAAGGCAGCCCCCUGGGAUAACACUGACGCUCAUGCACGAAAGCGUGGGGAGCAAA
RNAcentral lists this ribosomal RNA (410 nucleotides) under uncultured bacterium. RNAcentral's name for it is "bacterial SSU rRNA". It matches the Rfam family "Bacterial small subunit ribosomal RNA", at positions 370 to 772 of the family's 1533-position model. The record is from RNAcentral.